AAAAGAAAAGGGGAAGCGAGAGAAAAGAAAAGGGGGCCAGACCUAGCCCGCGCCCCCGCAACGCCCGUCGCCGCCUCCUCUCCUGCCGCCGCCGCCGCCUCCUCUCCUGCCGCCGCCGCCGCCUCCUCUCCUGCCGCCGCCGCCGCCGCCUCCUCUUCGUCGGUGCUAUCGAAGCCUGGGCUACGUGAGCGCGCGAGCCGCUGGUGAUGCUCGAGGCGUGACCGUUGGGCCGGGGACAGGUGCGCGCGCUCGCCGCGACGGGAACGAGAGUUGUCCCCACUCCUUCUGUUCCCCAUCGCCGGCCUCCUCUCAGCCUUGGCCUCGUUGCUCACGGGAGAGAGAGAGAGAGAGAGAGAGAGGAGGAGAAGGAGGCGGCGGCGGCCGCGGCGGCCAGAAGGAAUGAGGGGGUCGGGGCGUUGGUUCUCCCCGACACCAUCUGGCCUUCUCCCCGUCUCAGUCGUGUGGUCUCGACGACGCCGCCCUCACGCUCCUUCUCCUCCGCGUCGACAGGACUCUCUCUAGCCUCUCGCUCCACCUCCUCGCACACUCCUGCAG
Molecule: long non-coding RNA, 555 nt
Filed under: Triticum aestivum (bread wheat)
Lineage: Eukaryota; Viridiplantae; Streptophyta; Magnoliopsida; Poales; Poaceae
Description: long non-coding RNA (TAES_LNC013389)
Source: RNAcentral